This 73-nucleotide transfer RNA is filed under the name Felis catus (domestic cat). It matches the Rfam family "tRNA". From Rfam's summary of the family: Transfer RNA (tRNA) molecules are approximately 80 nucleotides in length. Their secondary structure includes four short double-helical elements and three loops (D, anti-codon, and T loops). The record is from Rfam by way of RNAcentral. RNAcentral also lists the same sequence under 5 other names. Lineage: Eukaryota; Metazoa; Chordata; Mammalia; Carnivora; Felidae.
GCCUGGUUGGCUCAGUGGGUAGAGUAUGUGACUCAUAAUCUCAGGGUGGUGAGUUCAAGCCCCAUGUUGGGCG